ACUCCUACGGGAGGCAGCAGUGGGGAAUAUUGCACAAUGGGGGAAACCCUGAUGCAGCCAUGCCGCGUGUGUGAAGAAGGCCUUCGGGUUGUAAAGCACUUUCAGUAGGGAGGAAGGUAGUGUAGUUAACACCUGCACUAUUUGACGUUACCUACAGAAGAAGCACCGGCUAACUCCGUGCCAGCAGCCGCGGUAAUACGGAGGGUGCGAGCGUUAAUCGGAAUUACUGGGCGUAAAGCGCAUGCAGGCGGCCUGUUAAGUCAGAUGUGAAAGCCCGGGGCUUAACCUCGGAAUUGCAUUUGAAACUGGCAGGCUAGAGUACUGUAGAGGGGGGUAGAAUUUCAGGUGUAGCGGUGAAAUGCGUAGAGAUCUGAAGGAAUACCGGUGGCGAAGGCGGCCCCCUGGACAGAUACUGACACUCAGAU
This 425-nucleotide ribosomal RNA is filed under the name uncultured bacterium. Its description in RNAcentral is "bacterial SSU rRNA". It matches the Rfam family "Bacterial small subunit ribosomal RNA", at positions 335 to 752 of the family's 1533-position model. The record is from RNAcentral.